Molecule: transfer RNA, 74 nt
Filed under: Anaerolineae bacterium
Lineage: Bacteria; Bacillati; Chloroflexota; Anaerolineae
Description: tRNA-Arg
Rfam family: tRNA
About the family: Transfer RNA (tRNA) molecules are approximately 80 nucleotides in length.
Source: RNAcentral
GCCCCCGUAGCUCAGGAGGAUAGAGCGCAGGUUUCCUAAACCUGGCGUCGGCGGUUCGAGUCCGUCCGGGGGUA